Molecule: transfer RNA, 72 nt
Filed under: Ornithorhynchus anatinus (platypus)
Lineage: Eukaryota; Metazoa; Chordata; Mammalia; Monotremata; Ornithorhynchidae
Rfam family: tRNA
About the family: Transfer RNA (tRNA) molecules are approximately 80 nucleotides in length. Their secondary structure includes four short double-helical elements and three loops (D, anti-codon, and T loops).
Source: Rfam by way of RNAcentral
GACAGAGUGGCUCAGUGGAAAGAGCACGGGCUUUGGAGUCAGAGGUCAUGGGUUCGAAUCCCGACUUGGCCA